This 288-nucleotide ribosomal RNA is filed under the name uncultured bacterium. RNAcentral's name for it is "partial 16S ribosomal RNA". It matches the Rfam family "Bacterial small subunit ribosomal RNA", at positions 29 to 334 of the family's 1533-position model. The record is from RNAcentral.
AGUGAACGCUGGCGGCAUGGCUAAAACAUGCAAGUCGAAGGAGAAGCAGACUUCGGUCUGUGGACACUGGCGAAAGGGCGAGUAAUGCAUUCGAACGUACCCCGAGGUGGAGGAUAGCUGUGGGAAACUGCAGGUAAUACUCCAUGUGCUCUAACGAGGAAAGCUCCGGCGCCUUGGGAGCGGCGAAUGUCCUAUCAGGUUGUUGGUGAGGUAAAGGCUCACCAAGCCGAAGACGGGUAGCGGGUGUGAGAGCAUGACCCGCCGCAUCGGGACUGAGACACUGCCCGG